RNAcentral lists this ribosomal RNA (552 nucleotides) under uncultured archaeon. RNAcentral's name for it is "bacterial SSU rRNA". It matches the Rfam family "Archaeal small subunit ribosomal RNA", at positions 326 to 887 of the family's 1478-position model. The record is from RNAcentral.
AGGGGUGCACAGGCGCGAAACCUCCGCAAUACACGAAAGUGUGACGGGGUUACCCAAAGUGUUCAUUAGAACUGUGGUAGGUGAGUAAUGUUCCCUACUAGAAAGGAGAGGGCAAGGCUGGUGCCAGCCGCCGCGGUAAAACCAGCUCUUCAAGUGGUCGGGAUAAUUAUUGGGCUUAAAGUGUCCGUAGCCGGUUUAGUAAGUUCCUGGUAAAAUCGGGUAGCUUAACUAUCUAUAUGCUAGGAAUACUACUAUACUAGAGGGCGGGAGAGGUCUGAGGUACUACAGGGGUAGGGGUGAAAUCUUAUAAUCCUUGUUGGACCACCAGUGGCGAAGGCGUCAGACUGGAACGCGCCUGACGGUGAGGGACGAAAGCCAGGGGAGCGAACCGGAUUAGAUACCCGGGUAGUCCUGGCCGUAAACGAUGCAUACUAGGUGAUGGCACGGCCAUGAGCCGUGUCAGUGCCGUAGGGAAACCGUUAAGUGUGCCGCCUGGGAAGUACGGUCGCAAGGCUAAAACUUAAAGGAAUUGGCGGGGGAGCACCACAAGGG